CUGACUGAAUAGGUAGGGUCAUUUUUCUGUGACUGCACAUGGCCCAACCUAUUCAGUUAGUU
Molecule: microRNA precursor, 62 nt
Filed under: Homo sapiens (human)
Lineage: Eukaryota; Metazoa; Chordata; Mammalia; Primates; Hominidae
Description: Hsa-Mir-3136_pre stem-loop
Source: RNAcentral